GAAAAAGGAAAAAAAAA
Molecule: small RNA, 17 nt
Filed under: Arabidopsis thaliana (thale cress)
Lineage: Eukaryota; Viridiplantae; Streptophyta; Magnoliopsida; Brassicales; Brassicaceae
Description: ATSL157460
Source: RNAcentral